Molecule: ribosomal RNA, 253 nt
Filed under: uncultured bacterium
Lineage: Bacteria
Description: partial 16S ribosomal RNA
Rfam family: Bacterial small subunit ribosomal RNA
Source: RNAcentral
UACGUAGGGUGCGAGCGUUAAUCGGAAUUACUGGGCGUAAAGCGUGCGCAGGCGGUUUUGCAAGCCGGAUGUGAAAUCCCCGGGCUUAACCUGGGAAUGGCAUUUGGGACUGCAUCGCUGGAGUGCGGCAGAGGGGGAUGGAAUUCCGCGUGUAGCAGUGAAAUGCGUAGAUAUGCGGAGGAACACCGAUGGCGAAGGCAAUCCCCUGGGCCUGCACUGACGCUCAUGCACGAAAGCGUGGGGAGCAAACAGG